GUUGAUGACGUGCUUGCACUGAUUUCAACAAUGAAGCGAGUGGCGAACUGGUGAGUAACACGUGGGGAAUCUGCCCAGAAGCAGGGGAUAACACUUGGAAACAGGUGCUAAUACCGUAUAACAACAAAAUCCGCAUGGAUUUUGUUUGAAAGGUGGCUUCGGCUAUCACUUCUGGAUGAUCCCGCGGCGUAUUAGUUAGUUGGUGAGGUAAAGGCCCACCAAGACGAUGAUACGUAGCCGACCUGAGAGGGUAAUCGGCCACAUUGGGACUGAGACACGGCCCAAACUCCUACGGGAGGCAGCAGUAGGGAAUCUUCCACAAUGGACGAAAGUCUGAUGGAGCAAUGCCGCGUGAGUGAAGAAGGGUUUCGGCUCGUAAAACUCUGUUGUUAAAGAAGAACACCUUUGAGAGUAACUGUUCAAGGGUUGACGGUAUUUAACCAGAAAGCCACGGCUAACUACGUGCCAGCAGCCGCGGUAAUACGUAGGUGGCAAGCGUUGUCCGGAUUUAUUGGGCGUAAAGCGAGCGCAGGCGGUUUUUUAAGUCUGAUGUGAAAGCCUUCGGCUUAACCGGAGAAGUGCAUCGGAAACUGGGAGACUUGAGUGCAGAAGAGGACAGUGGAACUCCAUGUGUAGCGGUGGAAUGCGUAGAUAUAUGGAAGAACACCAGUGGCGAAGGCGGCUGUCUAGU
This 691-nucleotide ribosomal RNA is filed under the name Levilactobacillus brevis. RNAcentral describes it as "bacterial SSU rRNA". It matches the Rfam family "Bacterial small subunit ribosomal RNA", at positions 46 to 733 of the family's 1533-position model. The record is from RNAcentral. Lineage: Bacteria; Bacillati; Bacillota; Bacilli; Lactobacillales; Lactobacillaceae.